RNAcentral lists this ribosomal RNA (486 nucleotides) under uncultured bacterium. RNAcentral describes it as "bacterial SSU rRNA". It matches the Rfam family "Bacterial small subunit ribosomal RNA", at positions 28 to 507 of the family's 1533-position model. The record is from RNAcentral.
GACGAACGCUGGCGGCGUGGAUUAGGCAUGCAAGUCGAACGGUAUCAUCCUUUCGGGGGUGAGAGAGUGGCGAACUGGUGAGUAACACGUAGGUUAUCUACCCUCAAGACGGGGACAACCCAGGGAAACUUGGGCUAAUACCGGAUGUGAGCAACUUUUAGUGUUUGAAAGGUGGCGUAAGCUGUCGCUUGGGGAUGAGCCUGCGUCCUAUUAGUUAGUUGGUGAGGUAACGGCUCACCUAGGCAAUGAUAGGUAGGCGGCCUUAACGGGUGGUCGCCCACACUGGGAUUGAGAUACGGCCCAGACUCCUACGGGAGGCAGCAGUCGAGAAUAGUCUACAAUGGUCGGAAGACUGAUAGUGCGACGCCGCGUGAACGAUGAAUCCCUUCGGGGUGUAAAGUUCUUUUAUAUGUGAGCAGUGCUUCUUAUAUUAACAGUAUGGGGAGAGAGAUAUUAGCAUAUGAAUAAGCAACGGCUAACUCCGUG